This is a non-coding RNA of Salvia hispanica, 1945 nucleotides long. The record is from RefSeq and is a predicted model, not a curated record. NCBI's taxonomy places the organism in Eukaryota, Viridiplantae, Streptophyta, Magnoliopsida, Lamiales, Lamiaceae.
GGUGCGUGUCAUCGGCGGCGCAGGCAGCCAAAACGACGACGGCGUCAAAGGUGUCGGAUUGUGCUCAAAUUCGGUCGCGAGUUGCGGAACGUGCCUACUACCGAUACUCAUGGCAAUGCCAUGACCGGCGAUGUAUUUUGGGCAUCCGAGGUCGUCCGAGGGGCGAAAAUGCCAGGUACUGAUGAGGUGCAUGUCAUCGGCGGCGCAGGCAGCCAAAACGACGACGGCGUCAAAGGUGUCGGAUUGUGCUCAAAUUCGGUCGGGAGUUGCGGAACGUGCCUACGACCGAUAAUCAUUGCUAUGCCAUGACCGGUGAUGUAUUUUGGGCAUCCGAGGUCGUCUGAGGGGCGAAAAUGCCAGGUACUGAUGAGGUGCGUGUCAUCGGCGGCGCAGGCAGCCAAAACGACGACGGCGUCAAAGGUGUCGGAUUGUGCUCAAAUUCGGUCGGGAGUUGCGGAACGUGCCUACGACCGAUAAUCAUUGCUAUGCCAUGACCGGUGAUGUAUUUUGGGCAUCCGAGGUCGUCUGAGGGGCGAAAAUGCCAGGCAGCCAAAACGACGACGGCGUCAAAGGUGUCGGAUUGUGCUCAAAUUCGGUCGGGAGUUGCGGAACGUGCCUACGACCGAUAAUCAUUGCUAUGCCAUGACCGGUGAUGUAUUUUGGGCAUCCGAGGUCGUCUGAGGGGCGAAAAUGCCAGGUACUGAUGAGGUGCGUGUCAUCGGCGGCGCAGGCAGCCAAAACGACGACGGCGUCAAAGGUGUCGGAUUGUGCUCAAAUUCGGUCGGGAGUUGCGGAACGUGCCUACUACCGAUACUCAUGGCAAUGCCAUGACCGGCGAUGUAUUUUGGGCAUCCGAGGUCGUCCGAGGGGCGAAAAUGCCAGGUACUGAUGAGGUGCAUGUCAUCGGCGGCGCAGGCAGCCAAAACGACGACGGCGUCAAAGGUGUCGGAUUGUGCUCAAAUUCGGUCGGGAGUUGCGGAACGUGCCUACGACCGAUAAUCAUUGCUAUGCCAUGACCGGUGAUGUAUUUUGGGCAUCCGAGGUCGUCUGAGGGGCGAAAAUGCCAGGUACUGAUGAGGUGCGUGUCAUCGGCGGCGCAGGCAGCCAAAACGACGACGGCGUCAAAGGUGUCGGAUUGUGCUCAAAUUCGGUCGGGAGUUGCGGAACGUGCCUACUACCGAUACUCAUGGCAAUGCCAUGACCGGCGAUGUAUUUUGGGCAUCCGAGGUCGUCCGAGGGGCGAAAAUGCCAGGUACUGAUGAGGUGCAUGUCAUCGGCGGCGCAGGCAGCCAAAACGACGACGGCGUCAAAGGUGUCGGAUUGUGCUCAAAUUCGGUCGGGAGUUGCGGAACGUGCCUACGACCGAUAAUCAUUGCUAUGCCAUGACCGGUGAUGUAUUUUGGGCAUCCGAGGUCGUCUGAGGGGCGAAAAUGCCAGGUACUGAUGAGGUGCGUGUCAUCGGCGGCGCAGGCAGCCAAAACGACGACGGCGUCAAAGGUGUCGGAUUGUGCUCAAAUUCGGUCGGGAGUUGCGGAACGUGCCUACUACCGAUACUCAUGGCAAUGCCAUGACCGGCGAUGUAUUUUGGGCAUCCGAGGUCGUCCGAGGGGCGAAAAUGCCAGGUACUGAUGAGGUGCAUGUCAUCGGCGGCGCAGGCAGCCAAAACGACGACGGCGUCAAAGGUGUCGGAUUGUGCUCAAAUUCGGUCGGGAGUUGCGGAACGUGCCUACGACCGAUAAUCAUUGCUAUGCCAUGACCGGUGAUGUAUUUUGGGCAUCCGAGGUCGUCUGAGGGGCGAAAAUGCCAGGUACUGAUGAGGUGCGUGUCAUCGGCGGCGCAGGCAGCCAAAACGACGACGGCGUCAAAGGUGUCGGAUUGUGCUCAAAUUCGGUCGGGAGUUGCGGAACGUGCCUACGACCGAUAAUCAUUGCUAUGCCAUGACCGG